AGUUUUGGACUCAAUCCGAUAUCAACUGGUCCAUGAAAUUGGACAAUUCAGGUUCGUACGAAGUUCGUUUUGAAAUGGAGUGGUUUGUGUUUUGCACAGUUUUAGAGACUGGAGUUCACUCAAAAACCACCAAAUGAGUCCUCCUACCAUAUUUAUUAUGAAGUUCCCCAAGUUUUGGACUCAAUCCGAUAUCGACGGGUCCAUGAAAUUGGACAAUUCAGGUUUAUAUGAAGUUCGUUCAUAAAUAGGGCGGUUGGUGUAUUGCAUAGUUGUAGAGAUUGGAUAUCACUCAAAACCCAACAAAUGACUCCUGCCACCAUAUUUUGAUGUUCCCCAAGUUUUAGACUCAAUCCUAUAUCGAUUGGUCCAUGAAAUUGGACAAUUCAGGUUCAUUCGAAGUUCGUUCUGAAAUGGAGUGGUUUGUGUUUUGCAUAGUUUUAGAGAUUGGAGUUCACUCUAAACCAACCAAAUGAUUCCUCCCACCAUAUUAUGAUGUUCCCCAACUUUUGGAAUCAAUCCGAUAUCGAUUGGUCCAAGAAAUUGGACAAUUCAGGUUCAUACGAAGUUCGUUUAGAAAUGGAGUGGUUGGUGUAUUGCGUAGUUCUAGAGAUUGGAUUUCA
RNAcentral lists this long non-coding RNA (620 nucleotides) under Prunus persica (peach). RNAcentral describes it as "long non-coding RNA (PPER_LNC002255)". Lineage: Eukaryota; Viridiplantae; Streptophyta; Magnoliopsida; Rosales; Rosaceae. The record is from RNAcentral.